This 406-nucleotide ribosomal RNA is filed under the name uncultured bacterium. RNAcentral's name for it is "partial 16S ribosomal RNA". It matches the Rfam family "Bacterial small subunit ribosomal RNA", at positions 30 to 526 of the family's 1533-position model. The record is from RNAcentral.
AUUGAACGCUGGCGGCAGGCCUAACACAUGCAAGUCGAACGAGUGGCGGACGGGUGAGUUAUGUGUGGGAAACUGCCUGAUGGCGGGGGAUAACUACUGGAAACUGUAGCUAAUACCGCAUACCAUCCGAUGUUCCCAGAUGGGAUUAGCUUUUUGGUGGGGUAACGGCUCACCAAGGCGACGAUCCCUAGCUGGUCUGAGAGGAUGACCAGCCACACUGGAACUGAGACACGGUCCAGACUCCUACGGGAGGCAGCAGUGGGGAAUAUUGCACAAUGGGCGCAAGCCUGAUGCAGCCAUGCCGCGUGUAUGAAGAAGGCCUUCGGGUUGUAAAGUACUUUCAGCGGGGAGGCGUUACCCUCAGAAGAAGCACCGGCUAACUCCGUGCCAGCAGCCGCGGUAAUUC